Molecule: small RNA, 5286 nt
Filed under: Pan troglodytes (chimpanzee)
Lineage: Eukaryota; Metazoa; Chordata; Mammalia; Primates; Hominidae
Description: retained intron
Source: RNAcentral
UUUACUGAAAUUUGAUGACCUAGAUGGAACACAUGCUCUGAUGUCCCGCAUGGUUCAGAAUGAGACCCCCUACUUCAUCUGGACCACUCGGCGGGAUGUGCUCGACUGUCGCUUCCUCUCCAAGGAUCAGAUGAUAAACCACUACGCCCGGGCUGGCUCCUUUACCACAAAGGUGGGUCUAUGUCUCAAUCUCCGGAAUUUGCCGUGGUUUGAUGAGGUUGAUGCCAACUCCUUCUUCCCACGCUGCUACCGCCUGGGGGCUGAGGAUGACAAAAAAGCCUUCAUAGGUAAGGAGACCCCCAGCCCUAUGCCUGAACCUCAGGCUGACAGAGCAGGGCUGAAGCUCUGGCUCAUAUUGGAGAGAAACAGGCCUCUCUUCAUGCCCUCAUCUGCCUGCCCCAGCAGAUUUCCUUUUCCACCCUCAAUCCUUAUCCUUCCCUAAUGUGCCCUCCCUUAAUAAGCCUCUUAGCUUGGUCAACUCUGACCUCCAGAAAAGCUUGGGUAUCUUGGCUUAUAUUCUAGAGCAGGUUCUAAAAGUUGGUCAGUCCCUUGAGUUUGGAAUCCAGAACAGAUUCCAGGCUUAUAUCAAGUUCCAUUUGUUGAAUUGGGUUCCAAAAAGGGCUGCAGGCUUUGGAUUUCUAAGGCAGACUAGGUUCCGAUUCCACAAUAUGUUCUAAAUUGAGGUUAGAAUUUGGAUCCAGAUUCUAUGCUAGAUUUAAAUUACAUUCAGAAUCUGAACUAGGACACAGUCUGGUUCUCAGGAUAGAAUAAGUAUCAAAAGUAGGUGAUGAACAGAAGAAACAAAUCAGACAAUGGGUCCAAGCCAGAUUCUGAAGGCAGAAUAUGAUCCAAGUCAGGUCAGAUUUGGGGUCUGGUUACACAACUGAAACAGGAGCAAGUUCUUUUUUUUUUUUGAGAUGGAGUCUCGCUCUGUCACCCAGGCUGGGGUGCAGUGGCGCGAUCUUGGCUCAUUGCAAGCUCCGCCUCCCGGGUUCCCGCCAUUCUCCUGCCUCAGCCUCCGGAGUAGCUGGGACUACAGGCGCCCGCCAUCACGCCCGGCUAAUUUUUUGUAUUUUUAGUAGAGACGGGGUUUCACUGUGUUAGCCAGGAUGGUCUCGAUCUCCUGACCUCAUGAUCCAUCCACCUCAGCCUCCCAAAGUGCUGGGAUUACAGGCGUCAGCCACCGCGACCAGCCUGAAACAGGAGCAAGUUCUAAACUCAGGCUCUAGAGUCAGAAAAGGUAGAGUCAGGUUCUGGAUCCAAAAUGGGGCAAGUCAUGAUCAGGUUCUGGAACCAGAACAGGCCUCAAGCCUAGGGGCUGAGCAGGGUAUCCCCUGGCCUGGGAGCAGAGGACUUCUGGCUGACUGCUGCCCGCAACGUUCUCAAGCUGGUGGUGAAGUCUGAGUGGAAGUCAUACCCUAUUCAGGCAGUAGAGGAAGAGGCCUCAGGUAAGUACUGUGGUUACCUCCACUCUCCCACCCAUUUAUCCUCCACCCAUCCGCCCUUCCACCUAUCUGCCCUUCUACCUAUCUAUUCAUCCACGCACCUACUGGUUCAUCCACACAUCUGUGUAUGAUUCACAUCUACCCAUCUAUCCAUCCAUCCACCAGCCAUCCAUCCACUCAUCCACCCACGUAUUCACCCACUCUCUGAUCUACCGAUUCACCCACCCACCCUUCCACUCAUCCUUCCAUCCUCCCACCUGUCACCCAUUGUUAAUCUCUUCAUUCAUCUGCCUGAUGUCAGCUCCAUACUCCCCAUCCAUCUAUCCACUCCCUGCCUACCUAUCCUUCCACAGAUCCACCUACCCAUCUAUCUACCUGCUAUUCCAUUCUCCCAUCUACUACCUAUCUGUUCUCCAGUCCAUCCACUCAUCCAUUCUUCUGUCCCAGGUACCUAGACACUUGUCUUCCCAUCCAUUUGUUAGUUGAUCCACUCCUCAUUCAGCCCUCCCAUGGGCCUGGCAUGUAGCCGAGCACCCUGGAGAGGGCAGACUAAGAAGACAUGGUCCGUCCCUGCCUGUGAGGAGUUCAGGUCUCUGAGGAGGAGGAAGCAGUGAAACUGGGCUUUACACAUGGCCUAAGAACAGCUUAGGCCUGAACAUAAGGAACAGCUUGGAGUGGAGGGGGACACAGAGGAACCCUCACUAUCAUGCAUGCCAACCCAACCACUGCCUGCCCUUUCCCUUUCUGGAUUUAGCUCGUGUCUCCAGGCUCCUAGUCCUGUAAUCCAGGGACCCAUCAGCGAGGGAUUCAGGGAAGCAGAGGCAGCUCUCCAGGAAGGAGGAAAAUCCCUGCCUCUUCCAGAGAGAGACUCCCCCAUUGCUGUCUCUUGUGUGUGUCAUGCACAAGGAAGGCUUGGUUGUGUGCCAGGAUAAGGGGCACAAGGGCCUCGGGUGUGGCCAGAGACCCCGUGCUUAAGCUUUUAUGGUAUAGGUCAGGCUGCAGGGGUUUGAGGGCCUCAGUUGUAUAUCAGGAUCUUCAGAGCACUGCGAUGUUCAGGGGUGAGUCAGGUCUGUAGAUGUGCACGGGGUCUUCUGAAGGGUUAGUUUCUGUAAUCACUUUCAGGUGUGUCAGGGCCUUGUGCAGUAACAGUGCACACAGAAGUUAGUGUUUCUGUGGGCUAAGGGUUGUAGCUCUGUAUCAGGAUUCUGGGAGUGGGUCUGGAUUUCUGGUGUGUGGACUUAAGAAGCUGUGUCAGACUUGGGGGAGGGGCGUUCAUGUAUAACUGGGUUCACAUAGGCCAAGACUCCCAGGUGCAUUUUAGGCAGAGCCUCAGGUGUGUUAGAGGUCCCAGGGGCAGAGAGGCUAUAGGUGCUGUCAGAGGCCUUGGGGACAUUUAGGGCGGAGCCUCGAGUGACAGGUCCUGGGACAGUGGGAGCCAAGGGCAAGUGCUAGAGUUGCAGUGAAUUUAGAGCAAAGCCUCAGCUAAGUGACACAUCCCAGGGCAGUAGGGGAUCUAUCUAGGUUCGUGCUGGGCCUCAGGUAAGUGACAGGCCUUAGGACAAUGGGGGCUGUGGCAUGCGUCAGGUUACCUGCCUUGAUAUGGGAUCGUGACAGGCCCCUCCCUAUGUGCAGGAGACAAGCAGCCCAAGAAACAGGAGAAAAACCCAGUGUUGGUGUCCCCAGAGUUUGUGGAUGAAGCUCUGUGUGCGUGCGAGGAGUACCUUAGCAACUUGGCCCACAUGGACAUCGACAAGGACCUGGAGGCCCCACUGUACCUCACCCCCAAGGGCUGGUCCCUCUUCCUCCAGCGCUACUACCAAGUGGUCCACGAAGGGGCAGAACUCAGGCACCUCGACACUCAGGUCCAGCGCUGUGAGGACAUCCUGCAGCAGCUGCGGGCCGUGGUACCCCAGAUAGACAUGGAAGGGGAUCGCAACAUCUGGAUCGUGAAGCCAGGAGCCAAGUCCCGCGGACGAGGCAUCAUGUGCAUGGACCACCUGGAGGAGAUGCUGAAGCUGGUGAACGGCAACCCCGUGGUGAUGAAGGACGGCAAGUGGGUGGUGCAGAAGUAUAUUGAGCGGCCCCUCCUCAUCUUUGGCACCAAGUUUGACCUCAGACAGUGGUUCCUGGUAACUGACUGGAACCCACUUACCGUGUGGUUCUACCGCGACAGCUAUAUCCGCUUUUCCACGCAGCCCUUCUCCCUGAAGAACCUGGACAACUUCCAAGUUGUUUGAAUCUGGUCAUGUGAAAACCUAUUUAAGCCUUGGUUUCCACAUCCGAAGAAUGGAGGUCUGAAGAAAAAUAUAAAAAACAGUGAAGUGGGUACUGUUACUACCCCCAUUUUGCAGAUGUGAAGAGCACACAGACACUGGGAUGGUUAACCGAGACUAUGCACAAAGCACUUACUACUGCGGCCCCCGUAACUAGCGCCCUCAGAGCAGCCCUGAGAGAUAAGAGUGGUUCUGGCCCUAGAAGAAUGUGGUGGGGCCCAGGCCUCUGUCCUUUUUGUCCUUCCCAGUAGGGCCCCAUCUCAAGUUGAAUAGCGCAGGGUGGCCCAGGGCUGCUUCCAGGACUUGCCUGUCCUCCCUGAGUUUGGAUGGGAGAGACACAAGGGCCUGGACCUCAGUUUUCUGCUCUCUGCCUCAGCUCAGUGCACCUGUGCAACAACUCCAUCCAGAAGCACCUGGAGAACUCAUGCCAUCGGCAUCCACUGCUUCCGCCAGACAACAUGUGGUCUAGCCGGAGGUUCCAGGCCCACCUGCAGGAGAUGGGUGCCCCAAAUGCUUGGUCCACCAUCAUCGUGCCUGGCAUGAAGGAUGCUGUGAUCCACGCACUUCAGACCUCCCAGGACACCGUGCAGUGUCGGAAGGCCAGCUUUGAGCUCUAUGGCGCUGACUUCGUGUUCGGGGAGGACUUCCAGCCCUGGCUGAUUGAGAUCAACGCCAGCCCCACGAUGGCACCCUCCACAGCAGUCACUGCCCGGCUCUGUGCUGGCGUGCAAGCUGACACCCUGCGCGUGGUCAUUGACCGGAGGCUGGACCGCAACUGUGACACAGGAGCCUUUGAGCUCAUCUAUAAGCAGCCUGCUGUGGAGGUGCCUCAAUAUGUGGGCAUCCGGCUCCUGGUAGAGGGCUUCACCAUCAAGAAGCCCAUGGCGAUGUGUCAUCGGCGGAUGGGGGUCCGCCCAGCAGUCCCUCUGCUGACCCAGCGAGGCUCUGGGGAAGCCGAGGUAUCAGGAAGUUUAAGGAAGUUGCCCAAGGUUGCACAGCUCAGAAGGGGCACAGCUGGGAUGCAGACCCAGCCCCUCACCACUUCCCCAGCCUCCACACCAAGGCCCAGCUGCCUUCUCCCCAUGUACUCCGACACCAGGGCCAGGUCCUCAGACGACAGCACAGCAAGCUGGUGGGCACUAAGGCCCUGUCGACCACAGGCAAGGCCUUGAGGACUCUACCCACGGCUAAGGUCUUCAUUUCCCUCCCACCUAACCUUGAUUUCAAGGUGGCACCCAGCAUCCUGAAGCCAAGAAAGGCUCCUGCUCUCCUGUGCCUCCAAGGCCCCCAGCUGGAAGUGCCUUGUUGCCUCUGCCCUUUGAAGUCGGAACAAUUCCUAGCACCUGUCAGAAGGUCAAGGCCAAAGGCAAAUUCAAGGCCAGACUGUGACAAACCCAGGGCUGAGGCCUGCCCCAUGAAGAGGCUGAGCCCCCUGAAACCCCUGCCCCUUGUUGGUACAUUCCAGAGGCGCAGGGGCCUGGGGGAUAUGAAGCUAGGGAAGCCCUUGCUUCGAUUCCCCACUGCCCUUGUCCUGGAUCCAACACCAAAUAAAAAGAAACAAGUGAAGU